CAGGCGUGGUGGCUCAUGCCUGUAAUCCCAGCACUUUGGGAGGCCAAGGCGAGUGGAUCACCUGGGGUCAGGAGUUUGAGACCAUCCUGGCCAACAUGGCGAAACCCCAUCUCUAGUAAAAAUGCAAAAAUUAUCCGGGCAUGGUGAUGGGCACCUAUAAUCCCAGAUACACGGGAGGCUGAGGCAGGAGAAUCACUUGAACCCCGGGGGGGCGGAGGUUGCGGUGAGCUGAGAUUGCACCAUUGCACUCCAGCCUGGGCAACAAGAGCGACAUUCCAUCUCAAAAAUAAAUAAAUAAAAUAAAAAAAGAAAAGAAAAUACUGAGCUCAGGCUGGGCACAUUGAUUCACGCCUGUAAUCCCAACACUUUGAGAGGCUGAGGUAGGAGGAUGGCUUGAGCCCAGGAGUUGGAGACCAGCCUGGGCAACACAGGACGACCCCACGUCUACCCCUCCACCCCCCCAAAAAAAAGAAAGAAAAAGAGGCUGAGUUCCCUAGGGCACUAUUCUUAGCCUUUUAUGACCACAACCUAUCCCUGGACAGCCUCAUCCACAAACAUGGCAUUAAGUGCCAUUCUACAUGUUUAGUAAACGUGUAUUGAAUGACUCAGUGAAAAAUGAAGGCAAAAUUUCUGGGAAAGAUGAUAUAUGGGACUGAAUCGUGCUCCCCCGCCAAUUCAUAUGUUGAAGUCCAAACCCCUAGUACCUCAGAAUGUAACCAUAUUUGGAGAAAAGGGCCUUCAAGAGCUGAUUAAAUUAAAAUGAGGUCAUUAGAGUGGGGUCCUAAUCCGGUAUGACUAGUGUUAUAACUAGUGUUCUUUUUUUUUUUUUUUUCUGAGACGGAGUUUCGCUUUUGUUGCCCAGGCUGGAGUGCAGUGGCGCAGUCACAGCUCACUGCAACUUCUGCCUCCUGGGUUUAAUCGAUUCUCCUGCCUCAGCCUCCCAAGUAGCUGGGAUUACAGGCAUGCACCACCAUGCCCAGCUAAUUUUGUAUUUUUUUUUAGUAGAGAUGGGGUUUCACCAUGUUGGUC
RNAcentral lists this long non-coding RNA (1029 nucleotides) under Homo sapiens (human). RNAcentral describes it as "HSALNT0278151". The record is from RNAcentral. Lineage: Eukaryota; Metazoa; Chordata; Mammalia; Primates; Hominidae.